This 850-nucleotide ribosomal RNA is filed under the name uncultured bacterium. Its description in RNAcentral is "bacterial SSU rRNA". It matches the Rfam family "Bacterial small subunit ribosomal RNA", at positions 41 to 889 of the family's 1533-position model. The record is from RNAcentral.
GGCCGGCUUAACUUGCAGGUCGAACGGAGCGCCAGACACGGACUAUUUCGGUAGGAAGCGUGCGGAGGCUUAGUGGCGGACUGGUGAGUAACGCGUGGAUAACCUGCCGCAUACCGGGGGAUAACAGCUGGAAACAGCUGCUAAUACCGCAUAUGCCCGCAGUGCUGCAUGGCACAGCGGGGAAAACUCCGGUGGUAUGCGAUGGGUCCGCGUCUGAUUAGGCAGUUGGCGGGGUAACGGCCCACCAAACCGACGAUCAGUAGCCGGCCUGAGAGGGCGGACGGCCACACUGGGACUGAGACACGGCCCAGACUCCUGCGGGAGGCAGCAGUGGGGAAUAUUGCACAAUGGGGGAAACCCUGAUGCAGCGACGCCGCGUGAAGGAAGAAGUAUCUCGGUAUGUAAACUUCUAUCAACAGGGAAGAAAACAGACGGUACCUGACUAAGAAGCCCCGGCUAACUACGUGCCAGCAGCCGCGGUAAUACGUAGGGGGCAAGCGUUAUCCGGAUUUACUGGGUGUAAAGGGGGCGCAGACGGCCAUGGCAAGCCCGGUGUGAAAGGCAGGGGCAUAACCCCUGGACUGCACUGGGAACUGUCAGGCUGGAGUGCCGGAGGGGUAAGCGGAAUUCCUGGUGUAGCGGUGAAAUGCGUAGAUAUCAGGAGGAACACCGGCGGCGAAUGCGGCUUACUGGACGGCAACUGACGUUGAGGCCCGAAAGCGUGGGGAGCGAACAGGAUUAGAUACCCUGGUAGUCCACGCCGUAAACGAUGUAUACCAUGUGUCGGAUAUCAAGGAUAUCCGGUGCCGAAGCAAACGCAUUAAGUAUACCACCUGGGGAGUACGUUCGC